This is a long non-coding RNA of Rosa chinensis, 268 nucleotides long. RefSeq lists it as uncharacterized. Lineage: Eukaryota; Viridiplantae; Streptophyta; Magnoliopsida; Rosales; Rosaceae. The transcript has 3 exons. The record is from RefSeq and is a predicted model, not a curated record.
GAUUGCUUGAAUGGAGAGUUUGUAAGGGUUGGCCCCAACCCCAAGUUUGCCCCGGUUGCUGGAUAUCACUGGUUUGAUGGAGAUGGUAUGAUUCAUGGUAUGCGGAUCAAGGAUGGAAAAGCAACAUAUGUCUCCCGCUAUGUAAAGACAUCACGUCUUAAGCAAGAAGAGUACUUUGGAGGUGCCAAAUUUAUGAAGGUACAUGAGUAACAGUAAUUGAGCUGUUGGAAUUGUAGUUUAAGAUUUGCGUAACAGAUGUUCUGUUGGA